GAUGAACGCUGGCGGCGUGCCUAAUACAUGCAAGUCGAGCGAACGGACGAGAAGCUUGCUUCUCUGAUGUUAGCGGCGGACGGGUGAGUCACACGUGGAUAACCUACCUAUAAGACUGGGAUAACUUCGGGAAACCGGCGCUAAUCCCGUAUAAUAUUUUGAACCGCAUGGUUCAAAAGUGAAAGACGGUCUUGCUGUCACUUCUCGCUGGAUCCGCGCUGCAUUAGCUAGUUGGUAAGGUAACGGCUUACCAAGGCAACGAUGCAUAGCCGACCUGAGAGGGUGAUAGGCGACACGGGAAGUGAGACACGGUCAAGACUCCUAAGGGAGGCAGCAGUAGGGAAUCUGACGCAAUAGGCGAAAGCCUGACGGAGUAAGGCCGCGUGAGUGAUGAAGGUCUUGGGAGCGUAAAAAUCUGUUAUUAGGGAAGAACAGAUGUGUAAGUAAAUGUGCAGAGAGUGACGGUACCGAAUCAGAAAGCAACGGCUAACUACGUG
This 497-nucleotide ribosomal RNA is filed under the name uncultured bacterium. RNAcentral's name for it is "partial 16S ribosomal RNA". It matches the Rfam family "Bacterial small subunit ribosomal RNA", at positions 28 to 507 of the family's 1533-position model. The record is from RNAcentral.